This 304-nucleotide long non-coding RNA is filed under the name Eucalyptus grandis. RNAcentral's name for it is "long non-coding RNA (EGRA_LNC007103)". The record is from RNAcentral. Lineage: Eukaryota; Viridiplantae; Streptophyta; Magnoliopsida; Myrtales; Myrtaceae.
UCCACUCGCUCUCUCCACCUUUGUCGCUACACAUGCCGGUCCACCCCUCCAUCUUCUUCACUAGCAGCUUGUGCAGCCGGUCACAGCAAGCAUUCGCCAAAUCAACUCACUGUUAUACCAACCAUAAUAAAUUUAAAGAAAAACACUCACCGUUACGAGCCACGAACGUAGCAAAUCCGAAGCCAAAUCGGAGAGAGCUGCAACUUCUUGUCGCUUGGAGUCUGCGACUUACAGCAAGAACAUUCCUCACCGUCUUGCGCUUGGAAACCACACCGGAGCAAGGCGGAGAAAGAACACAACGACG